This 569-nucleotide ribosomal RNA is filed under the name Idiomarina sp. H105. Its description in RNAcentral is "bacterial SSU rRNA". It matches the Rfam family "Bacterial small subunit ribosomal RNA", at positions 1 to 565 of the family's 1533-position model. The record is from RNAcentral. Lineage: Bacteria; Pseudomonadati; Pseudomonadota; Gammaproteobacteria; Alteromonadales; Idiomarinaceae. RNAcentral also lists the same sequence under 1 other name.
UUAAACUGAAGAGUUUGAUCAUGGCUCAGAUUGAACGCUGGCGGCAGGCCUAACACAUGCAAGUCGAGCGGUAACAGAUCCAGCUUGCUGGAUGCUGACGAGCGGCGGACGGGUGAGUAAUGCAUAGGAAUCUGCCCGAUAGUGGGGGAUAACCUGGGGAAACCCAGGCUAAUACCGCAUACGUCCUACGGGAGAAAGGGGGCUCCGGCUCCCGCUAUGGGAUGAGCCUAUGUCGGAUUAGCUAGUUGGUGAGGUAACGGCUCACCAAGGCGACGAUCCGUAGCUGGUCUGAGAGGAUGAUCAGCCACAUCGGGACUGAGACACGGCCCGAACUCCUACGGGAGGCAGCAGUGGGGAAUAUUGGACAAUGGGGGCAACCCUGAUCCAGCCAUGCCGCGUGUGUGAAGAAGGCCCUCGGGUUGUAAAGCACUUUCAGCGAGGAAGAACGCCUAGCGGUUAAUACCCGCUAGGAAAGACAUCACUCGCAGAAGAAGCACCGGCUAACUCCGUGCCAGCAGCCGCGGUAAUACGGAGGGUGCAAGCGUUAAUCGGAAUUACUGGGCGUAAAG